UACGUAGGGUGCAAGCGUUAAUCGGAAUUACUGGGCGUAAAGCGUGCGCAGGCGGUUAUGUAAGACAGUUGUGAAAUCCCCGGGCUCAACCUGGGAACUGCAUCUGAGACUGCAUAGCUAGAGUACGGUAGAGGGGGAUGGAAUUCCCCGUGUAGCAGUGAAAUGCGUAGAUAUGCGGAGGAACACCGAUGGCGAAGGCAAUCCCCUGGACCUGUACUGACGCUCAGGCACGAAAGCGUGGGGAGCAAACGGG
RNAcentral lists this ribosomal RNA (253 nucleotides) under uncultured bacterium. Its description in RNAcentral is "partial 16S ribosomal RNA". It matches the Rfam family "Bacterial small subunit ribosomal RNA", at positions 524 to 776 of the family's 1533-position model. The record is from RNAcentral.